CCUACGGGAGACUGCAGUGAGGAAUAUUGGUCAAUGGACGAGAGUCUGAACCAGCCAAGUAGCGUGAAGGAUGACUGCCCUAUGGGUUGUAAACUUCUUUUAUAUGGGAAUAAAAUGUUCCACGUGUGGGAUUUUGUAUGUACCAUAUGAAUAAGGAUCGGCUAACUCCGUGCCAGCAGCCGCGGUAAUACGGAGGAUCCGAGCGUUAUCCGGAUUUAUUGGGUUUAAAGGGAGCGUAGGUGGAUUGUUAAGUCAGUUGUGAAAGUUUGCGGCUCAACCGUAAAAUUGCAGUUGAAACUGGCAGUCGUGAGUACAGUAGAGGUGGGCGGAAUUCGUGGUGUAGCGGUGAAAUGCUUAGAUAUCACGAAGAACUCCGAUUGCGAAGGCAGCUCACUGGACUGCAACUGACACUGAGGCUCGAAAGUGUGGGUAUCAAACAGGAUUAGAUACCCUUGUAGUC
Molecule: ribosomal RNA, 460 nt
Filed under: uncultured bacterium
Lineage: Bacteria
Description: partial 16S ribosomal RNA
Rfam family: Bacterial small subunit ribosomal RNA
Source: RNAcentral